CGGCACCGAAAUAUUAAACAAUAUGGUCGCACUUUGGGACCUCAAGUGGAGCUGGAUGGGUCCAUCCUGUCGCUGGGACAUGAAAUAUUUGGGUACCGGCUGAUGCGAAAGGAGACGGGAACAUCUGAACCGCAUUCCUGGACUUUUACCAUCAGUUCAACUUCAUUACCUGGGUGAAGGUGCCAACAACUAUGUGUAGAUGGGGGAGAAGAGACGUCCUGCAUAGACCAGCGUGCAUGGUGUCCUACCAUGCAACGACAGAACAGCAAACCUGGGAAUCUUCACGCCUAAUAUAUAAUUUCAACCACUACACGCUAUUUCACAAAGAGUGAACAUGAAUUACAACACAGAAUGAAAAUACCAAUGGAUGUUCUUUUUAAAAUGCGUCCCCAAAAGAGCUGGUUGCCCGUUUUGUGCUACCAUGAAAAAAUAAAGGUUUCUUUGGUCAAGAAUCAGAUAAAAGGGGUAAUUCCCAAAGGCAAAGAGUUCAUCAACUCUCAGUUGGAAUAAUGAGAGCUCCCAUUUACUUUUGGAAGUCUGGUAUUUCAAAAUGGGAGCGGAAAUGUUGCUCUGCCCACUCAUGCAAGUCAAGCAGCUCCUUUUGGUGCCCGUCUGUAUCUCUUCUGAGAUUUGCCAGCAGGAGAUGCCGUUGUGACGAACAACUAUUUCUUCCCUUGAGAGACUGUGGGAAGAAAAAGGGGUUCAGGAAAUUUGAGCUGUACAAUGGCUGAAGGACCGCGCGGCUCAUCUUCUACAGGACUUUCAGACCUUUGAAUGACAAGUGUCGAAUCUCAGUAUCCACAACACACUUCAGGCAUCAUCCAAAACGCUCUGAACAAGCUAAAAAACCCCAACCAGUGCCUUCUGGUUUCAGAAAUGCUUGGUGAGAAUGCUUCUGAGCAGGUAGAAAACGCUACAAGAGGUCGGCUGGCUGAGGAACGCUUGAUCAAUGCUGAGCAAACCACUGCCAAACCUGCUUGGAACUUCUCAAAGGCAGGCAGGCUCUUUUCAUUUUCGCUUAUUUUUUUUUUAUAUGUAAGUAGUUCCAAAUAUUCUUAUGUGGAUGACAUUUUUUAAAUGCAAAAGCAUUUAAAAUAACAGAAAACAGAUCAAGUUCUGAAGCGCCAGCGGUUUCUCGUUUGCGCAGCCACACACUAACGUCUCCAGCUUUCCAGCGACUUUUCACACACGCAGAAACUUUUCCUUAUCACAAAUAAGACAUAAACCGCAGGAAAAAACCAUAUAUGGUGCGAUGCGAAGGAGCUAAGAAUUCCGGUAUUGUUAAAGUUGCAUAAAUGUUGAUUUAGUUUCAGGAUCUGAGAAGGAGGCAGAAAUAAGCUCGUCCUCUGCAGAGGCAGGUUUUGCAAACAGCAAGUUCAGGAGGGAGCAGGGACAUCAGCCUUCUCUCACACCACAAAGUCUGGACUAUUAGAGACGGGCACUAGCAAACGAGUCCCCAGUUAUGCCAAACCUGACCUGCAAAUGCACAUUUCAUACAGCUCAGGAUGGAUGGGAGACCUGGGAGAGAAUAGUAGAAAAGAAAAAGCAGCAUGUAAACACUUCAGGCAAGUAGAAAUGUUAAGAGAGAUGACAAAGACCUCAUUGUGUUUUUUGCCCAUCGAUCACGUUAUCGUGUGUCCUCCUUGCUUUUCGGAUUUGCACAAGUGUAAGCAGAAGUGAUGUGUUAUUCUCUUAGGAGGAAGAAAAGAACACACCAAGUGUGAGUCACUCACUGGCGCAGAGCGCGAAGCCGUGGUCAAAGUGUUUCCAGGUGUGAAGACAAUUAACAUCCACUGAUACGAUUCCAACUGUUAUAUAGUCUUUGGUAACUGCUGAAUUACAAGUGCAAAACUGUAAGGACACAAAUUAUAAUAAUAUUGGUAAGAAAAACAUAAGAAAUUUAGAUUAUUUGGAAUAUUGAGAAAAGCAAAGCUUUUUUUCUGAAGCCAGAUAGAACCUCUUCAUUCCCCCUGCAGAGCUCUGACUUGGUCCAACCGUGCAGGUAUUCCUGCUGCUAUCUAACAUUUGGUAGCCUGAAUUUUUAUUUAUCCAGCUUCAUUCUGCCACUCCGAAGCUUCUCGGUAAGCAAACAAACUCACUUUUCAUGUUUAGUUUUCUCGUGUUUGUACUUUCACCCUCUCUUACACAACAAACUUGGAAGAGAGCAGCAGCAGGGAGGGCUGGCGUGUGUGCAAGGACCCGACGCUCGCCUGCAGCAUCAUCCCCCAUGAAGAAGCAUCAUCCCCCAUGAAGAAGCAUCAUCCCCCAUGAAGAAGCAUCAUCCCCCAUGAAGAAGCAUCUUCCUGCGUCUCCCCAGUUUAGACGUUGGUGGUGGAAGGGUGGACGCUGGGUGAGAAGCGAGUCACCUGGCAAGAGGAAUGAAAGGGCCAAGGUACCACAUCUGGGUACCCACAGCAGUCCCUGAGCAGCCAAGGAGAAAAUACAAAGGAAAACGUUACAGCACUUGAAGCUUUAAUGUAUUUUUUUAUGGUUCUAAUGCUAGCACAACCUUUUAUUGAAAUUAAAAUGUUGCACCCCUGAGACAGUGACUCUCAGGGCCGGGAUGGGCUCUGGACUAGCACCGCUGCCUGUUUGGCAAGAGGGUGCAUGCUGCGCUUUCCUAAACCACCGUGUACCCACCUGAAGCUUCGGUGCUGACGUGUCCUCACUUACUAUAUCCCAGGAAAAUGGGCUAUUUUGUUUUCUCCUGCACUGGUUCUAGAAGGACUUGGAUUCAUUGGUGUUAGUUUCACAAAUGACCUGAUUAUUUUUCAGGACACGAUCGAGGGAUGCUCUCCUCCCUCCCCACGCUGCGUUAUUCCUUUGCGUUGUCCUAAACUGUUGAGAGAGCAAACCCCAGCGCAAAACUGAGCUGUGACUUUACGGCAGAUCUGAAAAAAGGAAGCGAAUGCUGCAUUGCAUGUUUUGUCUUCUAAAGCCAACACAGACAGGUCUGAAACCCAUGAUCUCAUGCCACGCUGGGCCAGGAAAAUGGCAUAUUCAGGGCAUAAGUUUCCAGCACAAAAAUACUCGUGAGGUGAUCUGAUGUGACUCUGUUCACCUGCCAACAGUCCUGGCAGAAAAAUAAACAGGUUCUGGAGAUGAGCUGCUGCUGGAGGCAAAGCAGGAACCAUGGAAAGAGCUGCCCUGACCUGUGAGGAACUGGUCUUUUUGCUUUGAACUCGAGCGGUUCUUAAUGAAUUCUUCAUAAUUGGCAAUCUGGGGUUUUCACUGAGGAUAUGUUUCUCUUGGAGUGCCAAAUGUAGGAGACAUAUUCCACAUUAGAAAUACAAAUUUUGGGUCUCCUAGGUGGCUGGCCAAGCUGGUGAAGGCAGUUCCAACAGGUUUAUUCACCACUACUGCAGAUAACUGUCUUGUAUCGGGGAUUAGAGUCGUACAUGAAUACGAAUCAGUGCUGACGGAUUUGCUUUCACAACCAUUAACAUAUUGACUUAAUUGAAGUUAUUGACUUCAGUGCUGUGAAAGUUUGAACUAAAAAUAAGCAGAGACAGUUUUAGUAACAGAAGAAGUUAAGAAGUGGUUGUGUCAGAGGAGCGAGGCUUUUGUUGUGCUUGACUAAUCUCUGCUUUACUGCUCCUCCAGUCCUCUGUUAUCUGGCGGUUUCAAAGGGGACGCUGCCAAGACGCUAAUUUAGAGUCCUAAAUUUUAUCCUGCAGGCAACUCUUACUUCAGUUUCCUGAGAAUAAAUUUAACAGGCAGACCCCUGAAGAAGAAAACAGGUGAACCCUUUUUGCUCCAUGAAACAGUCUCCUCGCUGGAGACCCUCAGGCUUUCUCAAGUGGCCCAAGAUACAAAACUAUUGAUGUCUGCACAGAAGAGCUUAAGAAAAAGCUUCAGCCUUGAGGUUCACAGUCUUCUUCAUGCAUGUUUUCAAGGGUCAACAAGUAAAAUAUUUACUAUAUCAAAUCCUGUUCACCAAUGGAGAAAAUCAGGAGCGUAGAUGGUGCAUGAAGCAUUCCCGGGGAAAGCAUCCCAAACGCCAACGCAAGAUGGAAUAUGCACAGUAAGUGCAGAAUCCACGUGCAAAAGGUUCAAAGUACAAUGUAUAUUUUCAAUAAAACUAACGUCGUUCUUCACCUUCUUACAUACACAUGUACUAUAUGAGCACACAGAGACAGUUUCCUCAAGCUGCAAGGCAAGCUGUAUUGGGCCUGACUGAAAAUGUUUACCAUACAAACUUAAAUGAGAAAAGGAUCAAAGUACGAUAUACAGGAAUAGAUAUUUUUCUGUUUCUGGACUCUAGUGCUGCUUUGGCUGCCAAUAGCACACAGAAUUUCCACUGAAGGGCAAGUCAAACCAAUUUCCCUUCGGAUGGAGGCAUCCAAAAACUUACUGAGGUUAUUAUAUUAGCGCCUACGCAUUCUUUAAGCAGAUGAACUGCUUCAUUUUGAAUGCGCGUCAAACCACAAGAACCGGCUGAUAAUAACAUUCAAUUAAAACGAUCUCGUUCUUCUAGAAGAAAAAAUUGGCUAACAGCUACAUCUCCUAUUUUCUAGCUGGGCACAAUAGGGCGAUUGACGCUAGAAGGAAACAGGAUCAGUUUGUACCGCGGAUCCGAAGGGUCGGGUUUGGUGACGGCGUUUGGAGGUUUAACCUCUUACACAAAUCUACGAGAUGAAGAAGCCGCUUCUGCCGAGCACGGAACUGUGAGAAAGUCCGAGCUAGAACUCGCAACCAUACAACUUGUGCUAAUUAGGCAGAUGUUUUGAACGAGCCGAACUUCGCGCUCGACGCGUAUUUGUAUCUUUUGAUGUACUUGGUGCUGCUUCCCAGCGCUCAGGGCUUCCCGAGAAGAGCAGGAGCUGCUCCCUGCCAGGCUGCUGGCUGAGUUUGCCAUCUGAUCUACUCAAUGCACAGAUAAAAGCCACCGCAGACUUCUUAUUUUUCUUCCCUUUUCAAGUACAGUACUGUAACUUGGAAAGCUCCUUUAUUCUCAGCUUCACUGAUGCAAGAAAGUGGCAGAAAUACGGCAGCUUUGGCUGCUUUCCUUUAGUAGCGCUUUGUAACUAAUCCUUUAAUGCUAAGGAAGCAAUAAGUAUUUUCAUUUUGUAUGGAAAAAAACCACUCUAGUUAUAGAAAAUAAAGGCGAUGACUUAUGAAAACUAA
Columba livia (rock pigeon) is the source of this 5127-nucleotide long non-coding RNA. RefSeq lists it as uncharacterized. NCBI's taxonomy places the organism in Eukaryota, Metazoa, Chordata, Aves, Columbiformes, Columbidae. The transcript has 3 exons. The record is from RefSeq and is a predicted model, not a curated record.